Molecule: ribosomal RNA, 301 nt
Filed under: uncultured bacterium
Lineage: Bacteria
Description: partial 16S ribosomal RNA
Rfam family: Bacterial small subunit ribosomal RNA
Source: RNAcentral
CAGUAGCCACGGUAAUACGAAGGGUGCAAGCGUUACUCGGAAUUACUGGACGUAAAGCGUGCGUAGGUGGUGGUUUAAGUCCGUUGUGAAAGCCCUGGGCUCAACCUGGGAAUUGCAGUGGAUACUGGGUCACUAGAGUGUGGUAGAGGAUAGUGGAAUUUCCGGUGUAGCAGUGAAAUGCGUAGAGAUCGGAAGGAACAUCUGUGGCGAAGGCGACUAUCUGGGCCAACACUGACACUGAGGCACGAAAGCGUGGGGAGCAAACAGGAUUAGAACCCCUGUAGUCCCUGUCUCUUAUACA